UACGGGGGGGGCAAGCGUUGUUCGGAAUUACUGGGCGUAAAGGGUGCGUAGGCGGUUCGUUAAGUUGGAUGUGAAAACUCUGGGCUCAACCCAGAGCCUGCAUCCAAAACUGGCGGGCUAGAGUUCUGGAGGGGGUAGCGGAAUUCCUGGUGUAGCGGUGAAAUGCGUAGAUAUCAGGAGGAACACCGAUGGCGAAGGCAGGUCUCUGGGCAUUAACUGACGCUGAGGAGCGAAAGCAUGGGGAGCGAACAGG
RNAcentral lists this ribosomal RNA (253 nucleotides) under uncultured bacterium. RNAcentral's name for it is "partial 16S ribosomal RNA". It matches the Rfam family "Bacterial small subunit ribosomal RNA", at positions 524 to 776 of the family's 1533-position model. The record is from RNAcentral.